This 31718-nucleotide long non-coding RNA is filed under the name Capsicum annuum. Its description in RNAcentral is "long non-coding RNA (CANN_LNC008660)". Lineage: Eukaryota; Viridiplantae; Streptophyta; Magnoliopsida; Solanales; Solanaceae. The record is from RNAcentral.
GGAAAAACCUUAUUCUUUUGUUUCUUUCAAAAUAUUUCAUUCAGAUAAAUGAUUUCAUAAAAAGAAUGAUUUGGAUAUUUGUAUAAAAUUUGGAGAAAAUCAAAAUUUUAAAAAGUUUGUAACAAUUAUUUUUGGAUGAGAUAAGGCACAAAUAUCCGAUGAAGGAAGUUCACAAGGAUAAAAAAGAGGAUGACGACGAUGAUGAUGAUGUAACCCAUUGCCAAUAUGAAUCAUUUUCAUAAAUUCUUCAGAAUUCAAUCAAAGAAGAACCAAGUUCGUAAGUUUUUCUCUUCAUUAUAUUUCCUUUAUUUGAUGAUAUAUUCAUUCAUGCCUAGAAUUUUUGUAGUUUUAAUUUGUUGUUGUAUCUUUAAUAAAAGUUAAGUUGUUUGACUUUAAAUCGUUUAACUUAAUUAAUUAUUAGAUUCAAAACAUUUUCUUAUAACCUGAAAUAAGUGGUUUAUUCAACAUUGAAUGAAAGGAUAUAAUUAAUUUUCUCAAUCUGCAAACUAAAAAGUAAAUCUGCAACUAGUGGUUCAAACUUUUUAUCAAUUUGAAUAUCAUAUUUGGUCAAUAUUUAUCUUCAACUCAUUUCUGCCUGCAAAGGUUAAAGAAUCCACCGUUGGGAUUUCAAAAAGUGAUUAUUUUUCUCUGUCAAUUCAGGGACUUGCUUCUAUUAUGAAAGUGCAUACUGAAUAUAAGUAAACUAGAACACAAGGACUGAGGUUCAUAUAAAAGAUCCCAAUUGACUGCACAAGUUACAGGCGGAGAUGUUUCCAUGCAUUUUACAAUUUCUAUGCAGUUGACGUAUACACAGAUGCGGAUAAUCUUUUUAUAUACAGUUCAUAUUGGGUUUAAUAUGCAUGAAAAAAGGUGUGAAUGGAAAAUGGAGGGACACAACUUUUGAGAAAAAGACAUAUUGUUUUGGAAAAAGAGUGACUAUUCAAAUAGUUGUGUCUGUUUGGAAAAAAGACUCAAUGUUUCGAAUGAACAGACAUGACUCUUCCAAAGGAUACACCUUUUCGGAUAAACCAUUGCCACCUUUCGGAAGGGGUACUUGAUGGCUAUAUAAACCUGCAUUUAUCCACAGGUUUAGGUAUGAAAAAUUUUCUGAAUAUACAAACUCUUCUUGUCUUCAAAACAUUCCGUGUGAUCCAUCAAAUCGUUAAGUGAGUUCGAAGAGAUUUCAAUUGUUUGAGGUACCACUACAGUUGGUUUGUUUGGCCAUUUUAUCCUGGGAGGAAAAUUCCACAACCUCGGGUACUUGAGGGGAAUUAUUUCCUUAAGGACACUACGUGAAUUCCGAGGAAUUGGCCAUUUCUGUUUCAUCUUAAUUUCUGAAAAAUAAAACACACUUCUUUGACAGAUUAUUUUGAUCUUGUGUUAAGGGUGUUGUUGUACUUCAUAGUGUUCUUGUUUUAAACUUGAACUAGUGUUGAAGUAGUGUUGCGAAAAUGUAGAUUGUUUGUACCCGAAGACUACAGUCAUGGCAUAGAAACAAAGGCCCUCCAGUAGCUUCUGUUUUAGCAUCAUCUCAUGCUGGAUCAAUUACUCAAUUCCUUUGCCAAAUACUUGUCCAUCAACUCCACCAGCGCGUAUAUUUCACUUUUCUGGACCGAAUUAGCUAAAAGUUGAGGCUGAAUUUGGAAUGCCAAACCAAGUCCUUCGAUCAUGCAUAGUUCACUCUUAGUUGGAUUGAAGGAUGUGUGCAUCUCACGUGAGAUUUGUAUGUAUGACGCGUAUGUUUACUGUAUGACUUUAUGAUAAUUUAGUGUCUACUUGUACACACCCAAAUUGGAGGGUAUAGAUUUUUGAUUUUGUGAAUACCAGCUAUUGUUUACUCACAAUAUUACUGGAACUAGAGAGAAAAUGUAAGAAAAGGAGAUUGCUAAGUAUUUUGAGAAAUUAUCUUGCUUACUUUAUUACACUACAGAAUGGUGGUGUUAUAUACAGUUGUUGUGGAAUGCCAGCUAAGAGCCAACAUAACUAUAUAAUAACCAUCUCUAACUAGCUAGACACAUAAUAGAAUAUAACAAAAGAAUUAAACUGGAACCCUCCACAAGCUAUCAUAACGCACUACAGUCUACUUCAUCAGGACAAUUCUACACAUUUGCCUAACUCUUCAGUCUUCACCCCCCCUCAAGCUUGGACAUAAUAUGAAAAUGAGGACCCUUCCCAAGAAAUUUAGUAAAAGCAUCUAUAGGCUGCUCAAUUGAAGGUAUAUAAGAAGGAUUACUCAACCCAGACUGUAUUUGUUCCCUGAUAAAAUGACAAUUAAUCUCAAUGUCCUUGGUCCUUUCAUGAAAAAUAUUAGCAACAAUUGCAAGCAGAAGAACUAUCAGAAUAGAGUAAAACAAGAAGUGUAGUGUGGACUCCAAGCUCUUGGAACAACCUGUAAGCCAAACCACCUCAGCAGUAGAAGAAUCCAUAGCUCAGCCUCUGCAUAGCUUCUAUAAACUAUGGAUUGUUUUUAUUUGCAGGAGAUUGUUAGGUUGUGGAGCCUGAUUAAUAUGUGACGUACUGUUAUAUAUUAAUGUUCAUACUCCAAGUCAUUAAUAUAAAUAGUCUGUCCACCGUGGAGGUUACCCACGGGUGUUACCACGAAAUUAAUUCUCUCUCUCCUAAAGAACUCUCUCUCUAGUUUUCUUCAUCCUCUCCACAGGUUUAGUGUGUGUGAACUACUAAUCGAUCCUAACAGAGAUGAGGGAAGAACCAAACUAAACUAAGUAACCAGUGAUUGAUCUUACUAUUGAGACAUGAACCUCCAUAGAGGACAUCAUAAUACCCAAAUCAAGUGCACGUUUCACGUAUCUUACAAGUCUAAGAGUUGCAUUCAUGUGAGACACUUUGAGAGAGUGCAUAAAUUGACUUAAACACUGUACAGUAAAAGAAAUAUCAGGUCUAGUAGUAGUAAGGUACAACAACCUUUCAAUUAAUCUUUGAUCACCAGUAGAAUUAUCAAGAAGUGGAUCCUUUUGAUAUGAUAGUAUGUGAUGAUCAAACUUAGUAGAAGUGAGCUUUAAGUUCAACUCCAUGGGAGUGGAAAUAAAAUUGGCACUAGCCAAGCCUAUAUUUGCAAUAAGUUCCAAAGCAUACUUCUCGAUAAUGAAGAAUAAACUCCUUGCUUCUAGCAAACUCAAGCCCUAUGAAGUAUCUAAAGUCACCAAGAUCCUUGAUCUUGAAGGUUGGUUGUAAAUCAGCUUUAUUUUCAUGCAGCAUCUAAGAAUCAUUCCCUAUUAGUAGUAAGUAAUCCACGUAAGUAAGCACAAUGACUAUUUUGUCAUGAUGUUUCUUGGUGAAAAGGGAAUAGUCUCUUGUGGUUUGAUGAAAUCCUGAAGAAAGUAAAAUUGUAGUAAGUUUAAUGUUCCAUUAUCUAGAAGCCUGCUUCAAACUAUAAAGGGACUUCAACAAUUUGUAAACUUUAGCUGACCCUCCUGUAUGAUUGAAACCAUUUAGGACAGUCAUAUAUACCUCUUCAUUUAAAUUCCCCAGUAGAAAAGCAUUAUAGAUAUCCAUCUGAUGGAUAGUCCAAUGCUUUGCUACAACAACUAAAAUUACAGCUCUCAUUGUAGCCAUCUUAACUACAUGAGAAAAUGUUUCUUGGUAAUCAAACUCUUUCUUCUGGUUGUAGCCUUCCUUUUGGCCCCCAACCUAGCUUUGAAUCUUUCCACCUUACCAUUAGCUUUAUAUUUAACUUUAUACACCCAUCUAUAAUCAAUAGGUUUCUUUCUUUUAGGAUGAUCAACUACGGCCCAACAUUUGUUAUCUUCCAAAGCCUGUAAUUCAGUUUGCAUAGCUUGUACCUACCUUACAUAUUUGAUAGCUUCUGAAUAAGAUGUUGGUUCAAUCUCUACUGAAAAUUUAGAAGCAUAGAUUUGAUAGGCAGCUGAAAGUACAGUAAAAUCAAUAAUAUUUAUGUCAAAUAGGAGGUUUAGAGAUCUUAUUGGACUUUAUUACUAGAACAAAAGGAAUAGGAAGUUGAGCAAUAGGUGUAGGAGGUUCAAUAUGUGUGACUUCUAAAGAAGAAUGAUCAACUACUAAAGUAGUUAUUGGCUGAGUAGGCAGAACAAUAUCUGGUGCAACAAAUAAGUCUUCAAAAGAGAAAUGAGGUUAAGUGUGUCUUUGUUGGUCAGCAAUACUUUCUUUAAAAGGGAAAAUAUUUUCCAUAAACAUAAAAUAUUUGCUAAUAAAGAAAUAUGUAUUCACCAAGUCAUAUAUCCCAUAACCUUUCUGAGUAGUACCAUAUCGCACUAACACAAAUCUUACUACUCUAAGACUAAAUUUGUCCUAUCUAGUGAGGUCUAUGGCAAAAUACAAGCAUCCUAUAACUCUUAGAUGUGUAAGAGAAGGAUAUAUAACAUACAACACUUCAAAUAGUGACUUAUCUCCUAAGACAGUGGAUGGUAUCUUAUUCAAAACAUAAAUUGUUGCUUGAAUACAGAGGCCCCAAAAUCUUUAGAAAGUCCUCCUUAAAACUUAAUGGAUCUUGUUGUUACAAGAAUGCGUCUGUGUCUUAACUACCCCAUUUUGUUGAGGUGUGCAGGAAUAAGAACUCUCAUGUACAACACCCCAUGAUCUUGAAAUAAUCCUUUACAAUGCUGAUUAAAAAAACUCAAAUUCAUUAUUUGAUCUGAUUCUUUGAAUUUUUCAACCAUUUGAACUUUCCAACCAAAUUGAGUGUUCACUUUCACUAAAAAAUAUUUCGAUUAAGUGAUGACAUCGGACUUAAGUUUCAUCAUGAAAAUCCAUGUCCAUCUUGAAUAAUCAUCAAUAAUAGUCAAAACAUAUCUCAUCCCAUCAAAUAUUCCAUAUUAUAAGGUCCCCAAACAUCCAUGUGAAGUAACUGAAAAGUACAAGUAGUUCUACUAAUGCUAUGAGAAAAUGGAAGUCUAGUCUGUCUAGCAAGAGGACAGAUUUCACAGUUAUUCAAAGUAAAGGCAUGACCGAGAUUAUGAAAAAAAAGGAAUGUUUCUUAAGACACUCAUAGAUACAUCUUUGGUGCCAUGUGACCAGUGGCGGACCCUGAAUUUUGUGUAAGUGAGUUCAAGUUACAAUGAACCAUAAUGGUAAUCUAGAAUAAUAAUAAUUAUUAUUAUUAUAUUUUAUUCCCAUAAUAUCCCCCAAAAAUUAUUUUUAAGGUGGUAUUUUUUAUUCUAAAAUAAAUAAAAAAUAUGUGCGUAUAUAUAUAUAUAUAUAUAUUCUCUAAUACUUUUAAAAAUAUUUUUUUGGAGGUGGUGUUCUUUUUAAAAGGAAAAAGUAAUUAGUAGAUAAAAUAAUUCUCUCUUAUCUCAAUUUAUGCGGCAUAUUUUACUUCUUGGGAUUCAAACAAGGUAAGUUUGACAUAAAUUUGGACAUGAAAUCUUCAAAUUUUUGAAAAUAAAAUUUAUAUAUUUGAAAACUACGUAAAAAAAAAAUUAUAAGUGGCAAUAACAAACUAUUCAAAAUUUGAAAAAUAUAUGAAAAAGUUAUGGUCAAACAUAGACAUGUUUGAACCUCAGAAAGUUAAAUAUGCCUGUCUCCAACAUAAUUUAAAUUCAUGGAAAAGAAAUUUCAACCACAAAUAAAAAUACGAAGAAACAAUAAUUUUAUUGAUAAACGAAUGUGGGUACAAAUUUAUUCCUCCUUGAUUCUUCUCUCUUGAUUUUCUCCAUAAUUUGAGGGUUGUUAGUGGCGUAUUUCUCGAACGUAGGAAUAUUUGGAUUUGAUCUCCUUCAUAAUUCGAGGGCAAUCAGUAGCAUAUUUGAAUGUAUAGGAUCUGAUAUGGAUUUCUCCAUAAUUCGAGGGUCGUUAGUGGCGUAUUUCUCAAAUGUAGACAUAUUUGAAUUUGAUCUCCAUGAAAGGAGGUUUUUUGGCGGUUUUCUGGAUCUUCUUGAUGUAUUUAAUUAUCAAGAAAAAAGGGUUUUGAUCUAUAAAUAUCCCAUGAAUUUAUUGGGACUUUGAAAAUACGAAUAUCUCUUUGUGAAUAUCCCAUGAAUUUCUGAGAUACUGAAGAUGCCUUCUCAAGAGAAUAUUUGCCCCUUUAUAUAGGCAUAAUUCAGGAUUUAGGGUAAACUAGACUCUAAGAACUCUAACAGAAUUUGAAUUUUUUUGUAGAGUCCACAAGUUUUAGAUGUCAGCAAUGCAUACAUAAUGAAGGCAACAUAUAAAUGAGAAUACGUAAAUUAAGAUGAAGAGAGUAACAUUUCCUAACAAAAGGUAUAUCAAAUUUAACUACUAAUUAUAAGGUUGAAAUUUUUCAUUUAUAGAUCUUCAAUAUAAAAUGUUAUUAAUCUUAUGAACAACAAUUAAAAUAUAGAAAUUUCAAAAAAUCAUAAAUAAAACAAUAAAAUAAUUUAACAAAAUAAUAAAUAAAUAAAGACAUACUAACUAAUUUUGUAUACCAAGAAAUAAGGAAAAAAUAUACAAACUUUAUAUAUUGCAAAAGAAUUUUCAUUAAGCACAGUAAAAAAUAAGCUAUAAAUAUAUGACCUAAAAAAUUAUUAACAUUUAAAACCGAUCUCAAAUAAUAAAUUUGUAAGGAAAUUGAAAGAUUAAUAAUUUUAAAACAUUAAUUGCCAUCAACUUCUAACUAAAUCUGGCUCUAUAGUUAACCAAAGAAAAAUCUAGCACUAUAAUUAAUUUUGAAAUCCGGGACCCACCACUAGUAACCUAAAAAAGUCUACAAAACUAAAGAGUUAAAAAAUAUAGUCUUCAAGGGGAAUCGAUCCCAAGACUACUAGAAAACAAGGCCCACUUCAACCAACAAGUUGCGCUUUCACUUCGAACAUAGUGGGUUUAUUUUUGUUACAUAUACGAUUUUUCAGAGAAUUAAUACAUGUAAAAAGAAAAAAAAAUCAACAAAGCGGGUUCAGUUGAACCCGCUUGAACCAACAUAGGUCCGCCACUGCAUGUGACUACUUCAGAUUGUAAUGUUGUUGCAAAACAUUUUUGUGAUCCUACACCUUCAUUUCUUACUUGUGUACAGAAAGUGUAAACCCUAACUGUAACACCCCAAUUUGCUGACCCGGAAUGCUACACGGUGCUCACGACCCUGUAGGACCACAAGUUAACCCAUGACUGAUAUCCGUAGUUGUAUACUGCAUAAUAUAACUUAAUAAUGUGGAAACAUGCACUGAAAGGCCAUAAGGUUCAAUACUCAACAUAACAUGGAUGAGAUAACAUCUGUGGGGUAAUAUAAUACCCAAAACAAAACUGUAAACACUGAAGGCUGAAACAUAAUAGUCUACAUCUAGUCUAAAAACCUCUACUAUCUGAAUAAUCUGAAUAAGGAGUUGAUGGGACAUGUCCCCAACUAACUCCAACUAAUAACUAGUCAAUGAAAUAGUGUAGAAAUAAUCAUGUCCUCGAAGGAUGAGGACUCACUUCUAUUCUGACUGUUGGGACUGAAAUCUAUUGCUGAUCUGGAACUCAUGUCUCUAAACCUAUGAUGUAACAUAAAAAGAAAGCACCAUAACGCAAAUGCGUCAGUACAAUGGAAUGUACUGAGUAUACAUGUAAUGUAGGCUAUAUGCAAGGGUUAAUAUGCAUGAAUAAUGCUAGUUGACUGUCUAACAUGGAUGCGAGAAUACAUACACAAAUACGUAACUGUAACUGACAUUGUGAUAUUGUGAUUACUGAAUCUGAAUACCAAUGACAUGAUGUACUAAUAACUGAUAUAACUGAUAGCAUAAAUAGUUGUAUCUGAAUGCAACUGAUAACAUGGGUGACUGUAUCUGACAGUCCUAAAUCUGAUGAAACUAUCUGAGUUCCUUACUGUAUCUGAGUAGACUGUAGCUGACAGUCUUAAAUCUGAAGAACUAUCUGAGUUCUUUUACUGAGAUUGAUACUGAAACUGUGGGAGGUAGUAUUUAACUGACAUGCAUCUGAUACUCCAUUAUGGCUGAGUUGGGGUCCAAUCUGUAACUCCAAUUAGAAGGGUGUCAAUACCGCUUCACUGGUAAGGAUAAGCAAUGGGCGACCCUUAUCUGAUAGUAUCCCUAAAAGAGAAUGGUGGGGCCCUUAUCUGAUAGUUCUUAUCCACCUCAUCAACCCUCAUCGGACAAUGUUGAUGUCUCAACUUAUGCUGGCUACAUAGUUCUGGAACGCAAGGAUGACUUUUAAGGAUCACUCCCUAUUUGAUAGUGUGUGUCCCUAUCUUUGGUUUCACUCGGUGCUAAUUCCUACUCCCAUCUGAAUGGACACUAAACAUGAUUUACUGAACUGAACAUGAGCUGAGUUACUAAGUUUUGUUGACUGAUGGAAUAGUAUUGAUAUCUAACAACUGACUGAGUCAUGAGAUCAUGGAGAUUUUUCCUGAGUCAUAAGACUAUCUGAAGUCUAAGUAUUCAUAGCUUGACUGAAAGUAUGAUGAAAACAUGACAUGACUCUAGGUACACAGCUAAUGUUUCAGGUACAAGUACCCCCAGGACUCGGUGGAAGAAAACUGACAAAGCAUGACUUACUUGAAUACAUAAUAAUCAUCAUAAUACAUUUACUGAAGCAUUUCAUCAAACAUGUGAUAGGCAUAAUCUUAUACGUAAAUGGGGAUUUCAUGAUAUCAAACUAGUUGGGCAUUGUUCCUUCAUCUAGGCAUUUAAUCAAACACAUGGUAGUCAUAGCACAUGUAGACAAUAUUAUACAACAAUUAAUCAUCAUGAUGCAUCUCUAAUUUCAUCAUCUAGGGUUUAUUCAUAGGUUCACAUGAAUAUACAAAUCAAUUCCACAUAAAAUUGAUCACCCAACAUAGAUUUAAAUUCAAUUGAUCAUUCUUAACAUAAACAAAACAAACCCAACACGAAAUUCAUAAAGAAAUCCAUAAACUUAAACUUAGAAAAGAGAUUCUUGGGUUUCAUGGAUGAAAGGAUUCCAUGAAUGAACACUACGCAUACCUUGGUUCAUGAUUUCGUGAAGACUGACGGUGAAACCUUCUUGAAUUUGAAUCCCCAAUAGAAACCCUAGCUUGCUUUUAAGAGAAACUUGAGAGAAAAUAGUAUAUUUUGGGUGAAGAAUUACUAAAUCACAUGUUAUUGGGUUUAAAUAGGGGUAGGAAAUUGACCCUUUUAACCCUAGAUGCGUCAUUUAAUUUCAAUAAAAUUUUCCCGAAUUGGACCCCUGGAGCGACGCAGCGUUAUCGCCCUGUGUCACUGGAAAUUGAUAAUUAAGAAAUUGAGGGAUGGCGCGACGCAGAGCCAUCGUGUUUCCCCUUCCUUCGUGACCUGAAACUUUGGCGCAACGCGGGGGAAGUCACGCUGAGACACUGGAAAAAGGACAAUUCUAAAUUUGACUGCUGGCGCUAUGCACCAUAAUUGCAGACACCUACUGGAAAUUUCCAAAUUCCAUUUCCUCUUGUGUUGCGGCAUGCCACUGACUAAUAUGGCUCUAUUUUACGAUGGGAACUUGAAAUAGUCAUAGCUUCUUGCCCGGUUAUUAGAUUUAAGCGAAUCAUAUAUCGAUGGAAAGCUUAUUAAAUUUUUCACAUGAAAAAAAGUUCAAAUCUUAAAAAUUCCUCAGGGAAUAAUUCUCAUUCACUUUAGAAGCUAAUACUACGCAUUCUUGGUACGAAAUUUGCUAGAAAACUUUGGGGUAUUACACUAACUUUCCCAGAUAAGAGAUCUUGAGACUCACAAUAUUUUGAAAAAAUGUGACACAACAAUUCAAAUCUUUUGUCACCUGUGAGACUGAUAUAAGAUUGAACUUGAAUGGUGGGACACAUAAGGCUUGUCUAGAAAAUCAUUUCCUAAAUGGCAAUUUCCAAUAUGUGACACCCUAGCUGAAUCCCCUAUAGGCAACUAUACAUUCCCUACAUUCUCUAUCAAAUCUUCAUCUUAUAAAUAUUUAGGAUCACCUGUUGUCAUGACCCAAAAAUAAGGAUCAUGAUGGCACUUAUUGAGGCUAAACCUUGACAAGUAAUCUAAUCACCUAAACUAAUUUGAAAUAGAAAAUAUCACUAUAUCCCAAGGCAAGAAUUCUAGAAUAAAGUUGAACCAACAUACAUAAUAAAUGCAGGAGUCUGAAUGUCAAAAUAAUAUAUAAACCAUCCCAAAACCUGGUGUCACGGUGUAAGAAUAAUCUACAGACAACUCAAAGUCUGAAAUUACAACUGAUAAUCUGAAAAAGGAUACAAAUCUAACUCUAAAUACAAAAUAAGACAUAAACUAGAUAAGAUGGGAUAGAAGGUCGACUCUAAAAGCAAAAGGAGGCAACUACCUCAAAAAUAUCCAAUCACCACUCAAAAAUCAGUUGUCGUGCGGUACAUUUAUACCUGGAUCUACACCGAAAAGGCACAGUGGAAAAGGUGAAGGUGAUUCGAGAUAGUCUUAAGACUGCUUAAAGUAAGUCCUAUGAGGAUAUGAGGCGUAAGGAGUUGGAGUUUAAUGUGAAUGAUUUGGUAUUCCUGAAGGUAUUUCCCAUAAAUGGAGUGAUGAGGUUUGGAAAGUAGGGGAAGAUCAGUCCCUAUUAUGUUGGUUUGUAUCGUAUUUUGAGGCUAGUGGGUAGCGUGGCUUAUGAUUUGGAUUUGCCUUUGAGCUUGGGUUCCAUUCAUCCGGUCUUUUAUGUCUCGAUGUUGAUUAACUACGUAGGUGACCCCUCUUUGGUUAUUCCUUUGGAAAGUGUUAGUGUCUUGGAUUCCCGAUCAUAUGAGGAGGUCCCAAUUGAGAUUUUGGAUCAGCAAGUUCGCCGAUUACGAAUGAAGGAUGUGGAUUCGAUAAAUAUUCUAUGGAGAAACCAAAAGUGUGAAUAAGCUACUUGAAAAGUCGAAGAGGACAUGAAGUCUAAAUAUCUAUUCUUGUUUCCUGCAACGGAUAAUCGUGCUUGAGGUAUGUGUAUUCGUUAACAUCUUUGUUUUUUGACUUUGUUAAGGGAAAUUAUGAUUUCCUUGAUAUCUUUGUUUUUUGUCUUUGUUGAAGGUAAGUGUGGCUGUGCUCUGUGUUAACUCGUAUUAAUGAAAACCUUAUCCCAUCAUUAGUGGAUGAAUGAUCCUAAGAGAGGGAGAAUGUGACACCCCAAAUUUUUGGAACCUGAAAUUUUUUAUUUUUUAAACUCAUUUCCUAUACUACGACUCUCCCUACGAGUAGUAGGGUGUCAUACGGGUCUUAAAAGCCUACUCGUAGCCAAACCAAAGUGCUUGCCUGAUGUUUCCGUUAUGACUACAACUAGAGGUUACGAGUCGUAAAGACUCAAAAUGAGUCGUACGGUUCCACCAUAUCCAAACUAGUGUGAUGCCCAAAAUAUUUUAUCUUGACUACGACUUAGACACUAUGAGUCGUAGGGUUACCUGACGAGUCAUGUGGUGUGAACCAUAGGGUUACUAGAAAAGGGUCCUUAAGUUACUGUCUUGACUACGACUCGUGGUGAUGAGUCGUAAUGUGUCCUCAUGAGUCGUACAGUGACCUAUAGUCACUGGCGACAAUUUUUUAGUAUUUUCAUUAAGGGCACUUUGGACAUUUCACCUCUUCCCCAAUAGUAACCCACGGCUUAAAACCCCUUUAGUUUAUCAUUAUCACUCUGAAACAAAUCAAAAUAACUUCUCAACUUCUCUCAAAUCCCCAAGGUCAAAAACACUUGGGGUUUCCAAGAAGUUGAUCAAUUAGGGCUCUCAAGGGUGAUUUCUCUCCACAGUUGUGAUACUUUCAGGCAUGCUACUCUUCCUCAAAUCUUAUUUUAUGAAAAGCAUGUGUUUUUAAUGAUUUAAUUGUAUGGAUUUAAAUGUGAGUUUUGUCAUGGUUGAGGGUUUUGGAAUGGUUGAUCUUGAAUUAUUUUUCCAUGAUUUUCAUGAGUUGUUCAUACUUUGAAUUGAAUAUUUUAAACUAAGAGGGUGCAUCGGUGUGGGAAUUGGAAUGGGGGUCGAGGUAUCCCCCAAAUUGUUGUUUUGAACUUGGAAUUGGUUUUGAAUAAUUAUGUUCCCUCAACCCAUUUGUGAAAUUGAAUUUAAAAUAUGGAUUUGUCACAUGGUUUAGCUUACUUACCAUACUAUUGCAUUAAAUAAAUGGAUAAAAGGUUAAAUAUGGAUUUUGAAGGUCGUGUUGGCUAUGUUUGAUUGAAUGAACAACGGGGUCGAGGCAUUCCCCCAAUUUGAUUUGAUAAACUAAAAGAGGUUGAGGCAUUCCUCCAACUUGAUUUAAUGAAUAAAGGGGGUCGAGGCAUUACCCCAAGUUAAUGGAAUUGUAAUGGCAUGAUUAUGGGCUUGCAAGUUAAAUGGUAUGACGAUACCUGUGGUGUGCCUUAAUGUAUAAUUCCUUGAUUAAUGAAUGGGUUACGUGAAACUUUUUUUGAUUUGGGCUUAAUGAGGGUUAUGUAGCUAAUCCAUGAAGGUGUGGUCUUGAAUGACUUGUACUGGAAACUUGUGUUUGCCUAUGUGAGGGUUUGUCUUGAUGAUCGUGUGAAUAGUUCACUCUAUUGAUACAUAUAUAUUUGUAUCUUGGAUUGAUGUAGGGUUGGGGAAUUCCCUGGUCUUCCUUGAUACCUCCAGUUCAUGCGGCUAACAUAAACUGGGGCUUUUUCAAUAAGGGGAGCUGAACCCCUAUAGCCCGUGGGGGUCGAUUUAUGUUAGUUGAGCUACAUAAUCUAGGAUAAUGUUUUACUAUCAUGCUAAACCUUGUUCCCUACCCCAGCAUCUAUUGUAUAUAUAUAUAUAUAUACAUGUAUAUGAAUAUGCACAGUGAGUUUUAAAUUGGAUUUUUGACUGACAUUAUUUUAUCCCUUCCCUGAGUUACAUGCUAGUGCUCAUUACACUAAUCAUCUCUGAAUAUUGUAUCCUCAUAAGAUACAGGGUCCAAAGGCAGUCCUAAUUUUUAUGUGCAGUGUUAGGUAGAUCGGCUCGAUUUGUCGAUCGUUGUGGUGAAGUGGUGAGCUUCCAUUCUCCGGAAGACUUGAUUAUUCAAUCUAUUUUUCCUCCAUAAAUUAGAAGUGAAGAAUUCAUAUUUACAUUAUCAUUGUCAUUGUCAUUAUCAGGGUUGGGGCAUGUCCCAAUGUAGGCUAUUUUUGAAUUAGUAGAGGCUUUGUGGAUAUUGCUUUGGAUUGGAUAUUAAUGUUGACACUCUUAGGGGACUUUAAACUUAUUUCUUUCUAUUUUAUUAUAGGUUUGAAAUUCAGCCGUUGUUAGGUAUGUUAUAUUCUGUUUGGAUAGGCUAAAGGGUGGUCUCCGGUCCUUGGUGGACUUGAGAUACCCGUCAAGGCUAGGUCCUAUUUCGGGUCGUGACACCAAAGGUCGACCUGCAGUCAUUAGCUUACAAUUUUUGAGAGAAAAAUAAAGAGCACAAGCGUUUUACGAGGUUUCUUCAUCUUGUAACUCAACUACUUCGUAUUUUGGUAUGAUUAACAUUGAUUCUUAUGUUUUUCUUCAGACUAUGAGUAGCUAAUACCUUUGAUUUGGGGUUAUAGUAAGAACAUGAUUGUUUAGUAUUUUAUUCAAAGCAAUGAAGUUUGUUUCUCAUUUAAUUGUGCUUGUGUUCUUGAUUUACUAUUUUAAUGUCCGGACAACAUUAGAAUAAAUAGGUAAUUCUUGCAUUAACUGACCAUGGGAAUGUAAGGAUAGGACGAAGAAAAUGAGAAAUAAGAUCAUCUCUUAUUAAAUUUAGUGUUGAUUUGCAACUAGGAUUUCAAUAUACCUAGUUUGACUUAUUUCGGCUCAACAAUAUAGUUGUGAGACUAGUUUGAAUAGGUAAUUUAGAGAAUGGACAUUUCUGGAUCGUAUACUUAACCCCAAAACCCGCAAUGCAAGAAAUAAAGUUCAUUGAGACAAAUAAAUAUUAUACAUGAUUGUGGUAAAUGUUGUAGUCCUAAAAUUUCAUUCAAUAUUUUUUACAGCCUUGUUCAAAAUUGUGAUUAUCUUAUUUUAUUUUUUUGUACACUAUUAAAAAUCUAUAAUUUCACAAACCCUCUUGACGAAACACAUCACUUGUCUGAAAUACUAUUGAAAUUGGAAUUAAGCAUACUACUAAGCGCAUACUCUCAGUGGGUUUGAUAUUCGGUUCCUAAAGAGCCACAAUACUACUUGUUAGACCAUGUACACUUGUGUAUGCGGUAGGCUGCAACAAAUAGUUGGUCCGAAAAGAUGUCAUUAAAUUGUAAAUCAUUUGAAAUUUAAACUUUGUUUUUUGGCCAAAAGCAUCGUCAGGCCCCUAAACUUUACACAAACUUUCACUUUAGCAUCUAAACUAGACGUUGUUCAUUUUAAACACUUAUACGAGCCUCCAACUGUAUCAUUUUGACACCUUUUGCAUAAUCAGCUAAAAUUACAAAGUGUGUGUAAUACACUUGCGGAUCAUAUGACAUGCUAACCAAUUAAAAGAGCAUAUGGCAUUUUGGGUGAUAAAAAUAUUAUAAAAAAAUUAUUUCAUGAAGAAAAAAAUGUAAAACUAUUUAGAUUUAUUCAAUUAUUUUAAAAAUAAAUUAAAAGAAAAAACUAUAUUUUGGAAAAAUUAUUUCCAUCCACAUGACUUCCUCCUCUAUCGUAAAAAAAAAAAAUUCGCCAAAAAAAGAUUCAUAUUCGAUUCUCUUUUCAGUGAACUUCUCAUGUUUCUUUUUAGAGUUGAUAAUUUUAAGUUUAGUUAAAAUAUGUUUCAUAAAAGAGAGGGAGGUAGAGAGAAAGAGAGGAUGGUAGUGGUGGAUCUCCAUUUUCUCCGACCAAUAAGGUGGUGAUGAUAUUAUUCUUUAUCUAAAAAAUUAAAUAACCAAUUGAAAUGAAAUAUUUAACUAACAUACUAUUUUUGAGUAAAAGUUUUUUAGAAAGACAAAUCUGAUGCAAUAGUAGUGCUAACUAUUGCCUGUACUGAAUUUUUGGCUAAAUUUCAAUGAAGUAAUAGAAUUUUCUUUUAAUUUUUUGUGUUUUAUUCUUUUAUCUUUUAAGUUUUUAAAAAAUAGUGUGAUAGUUUUUCUUGUUUUUUCAUCCAUGUUUUUGUUAGAAUCUAAAAAAAAAAGGUAUAAUAAUGGUUUGGUGGAUGGUGGUGGAAGGUGGAGAGAGAGUAUAAAAUCCUAAAAAAAAUUAGAACCUCUGUGCACCCAAUGUGGUAUAAAUUACAAGUAUAAUUAAAAUAUUAAACUUUAUAUUUUUUUAGUAUUGAAAGAUUCAUACAUCUAUUAAGGCCUCAAGCAACUCCGAGCACAUAGCCAAGUCAAAACCUCCUUUACCAAUUGAUUUCUCGUGACGUAUCCUGUUGUAAUCAAAUCCAAAUGACCAUAAAUCCUAGGUUAUGAAGUAUAAGGCCCACCAAAUGAUAGAUAUUUGAGUUAGCUUUCCAACACAUUCAGUUUUGCCUUAACCAAUACUAGAGUAAAAAGUUAUGUCUAUUUUACUGAACCUCUGUCAAUGUUGUCCAUGAGCUAUGAAUUUGAUCCACAACCCGUGGAUUCAACUCAUGGCCAGUGAGUUCAAGUCGUGAGUCGGGUCCUAAAAGCUAAAAAAAAUAGUCUGAUUUUCAUGCCUCGGACCCACUACCCAUGAGCCUAACCCACGGUCCAUGAGUUCAGGUCAUGAGUUGGGUUUUGAAGGCCAUAAAACUAUCUGAUUUCCACGGGUUGGACCCACAAGUCGUGGAUCAAACCCAUGGCAUGUGGACCAAAACAUGGGAACUUGUUUCUAGAAAUUCUUUUUUUGGGUAAGCUUAGGGGCAUUUUGGUCAUUUUUCUUAUGAGGUCCAACCGUUAUAUACUCAAAAUCCCUUCUAAACAAUCAGUUAUGAUCUUUUCAAAAAGAAUAUGAAUAGAAACUUUUCCUCCUUCACCAAAAAAUAUUCUAAGAGGCAAAAACAUUUAGGGUUCAAGAUUCAAGGCUCAGAUUCAAGCUCUGUUCAUCUAAAAGGCACGUUGAACACUUCCUACUUCUAUUAUUAUCAUAAAUUAUGGAUUUCAAGUAUCCUUGUGUAGGUUUUAAUUGAUAAGUUAAAACUAGAUUGAGGAGAUUAUUGUGAAAAGUCUUAUAUUGAUUUCUCUUCUUGUUUAAACUUUUAUAAGCAUUAUUAAUGGGUUUUGAGUAGUAAAUACAUUAUAUAAAAAUGGCGAACUUGUUAACAAGGAUUCACAACUUCUAAGAUUGUGCAUGAUAAAAAUAUGACCCUCAACCCAUUUCAAAUUUAUUUUUCAUGGAAAUUAUGGUGUUUACUCUAUCUUUUGAAUAAUGUAAGAUAUAAAAAAUGAUGAAAGGUUAAAUGGAUUUGAAAGCCCUUGGGGGAAAUGUUUAUGAAUUUAAAGACAAAAUUUGGGAGUUUAAAAUAUUAUAUGAAAAUGGUUUGGAAUGUUAUGGAUGGAUUACAGUCUUGAUAUGACGAUACCAAUAUGGGAAUGUCUUAAUUAAAGACUCCAUGAUUAAAGGUUUAUGCAAACAUUUUAAUUGGUCUAAAAGGAGAAUUGUGUGGCUUUAUCGAGAAGGCAUAUGUCCUCAUGACCAACACCUGAAACCUAUGUUUUGCCAACAUAGGGAUGUCGACCUUAAUUGGAUGACGAAUAGGUUUCCUUAAUAUGAGGAUAAUAUGGUGGCUUCAGGCUAUUGGUGACUUUAUCUAAAUCUCAGUACUUGUGGAAAAUAUGGACUGAGGUCCCACUGGUUGGGGAGUACUAGACACAUAUAGCCCGUGGGUUACUAAUUAUCGGUGAAAAGCUACACAAUUCAGGAUUAGAUUUUAAAUGGACAUGUCUUUAUAUCCCAUGUCCCCGGUCCCUUACUUUAUUAUUAUCAUGGAUGAUGAAAAUGAGUUAUGACUUGCUUUAUAAGAUAUUUAUUUCUUUUUUCUUGGGUUGCGUGCUAGGAUUCAUCAUACUGACAGUCCCCGGAUGCUACAUUAUUUUAUGAUGUAGGUUCAGAAGAAUUUUCUCAUGAUUUUGUGAAGCACUAGGGUGUUUGUAUUCUCUCUUGGAUAACUGGUGAGAAGUUAGAGCCCUCUGUCAUUCGGAAGGCGAUUAUACUUUUCACUUAUAUUUACAUGCUGGCAUCUUAUGCUUUUUAUGAUAUAGUCAGGGUCAUGCCUUGACUUAGAUUUAUGAUUAAAGUUAGAGGUUUCGUAGAUGGUGUUGGGUAAUUAUUUGGAUUUCUCAAGGUAUUGACAGUACUUUAUUUUAAGUCUUGAACUUCUUUCUUUAUAGGCUUGUUUCAGCAAUGUUAGAUAUAACUAUGCUUAUGACAUAAUAAUAAGGGUUCAUCUCAAGCCUCCAUUGAUUUGGAAUGUCCGUCGCGGCCAGGUCCAUGGCUCGAGUUAUGAAAAACUUGGUAUCAAAGCCAAGUUCAGGGUCCCAGAGUGUCUAUGAAGUUGGGCCGAGUAAAAUUCUUUAUGGGUGUGUAGCACGCUACACUUAUAAGAUGGAGGCUACGAGGUAUUUAGGAAUGUUUCCCUUCCUUUAUGUUCUAGUUCAUGCUAGAAAGUUCAGUUACAUUGAAUUUUUCUAACUCCUAAUUUUUCUACAUUUCAGAUCAUGCCUCCCCGGAGAUCUAAUGGCCAAAGGAACUCACCCUAGGGGGGCAAAUACUGAGGAGGUCCGCCCAACCUAUGGGAUGUAAGCCCGAAAUAGCCCAGACUCCUAACUUCACUACUCCUCCUGGGGUUUUACCAGCCUCAACCAGUCCUUCCAAGGCUCCUAGGACUGACACCGCCCGUACCUAAUUUCUAUAAGAAGAGGUUUCUAAUACCGAGUUCAAAUAGAUCAUAAUAUGCUAGCUCAGAAUAUAUCGACAUAGUUCCAUGAGUAAGAUAAUGUGGGUCAUGUUAAUGGUUCUUCAGAUGCUUACUUAGGUUGGCUAGUUUAUGCAGCCUAACCUUCUACCUUCACUUGGUCCAAAGCUAAGAAGGACCGUUAAGAGUUUAUUGAUAAAAUGGAUAAAAUCUUUAGGGUGAUGAAUACUAGUGAUACUGAUGGGGUAAAGUUUGUGUCUUAUCAGCUGAGAAGGGUGGCUUAUCAGUGGUAUGAUGAAUGGAAGGUGAUUAGGGGUGAGGAUGUUGAACCUUCUAUAUGGGAGAAUUUUUCUAAUGCCUUUCUUGAUCACUUCUUCCCUCGGAAGCUGAGAGAGGCCAAAGUUGAGGAUUUUGUGAAUUUGAAGUAGCGUAAGAUGAGUAUGAAGGAGUAUGCUAUAAAGUUUACAUAAUUGUUUUAUUAUGCUCCCGAGUUGGUGUCUAACAUAAGGUCCAAAAUAAGGAAAUUUGCUUUAGUCCUUUCCAGUGAUUUGGUGCUAGAGCGUAAGGGUGUCAUGCUGAAUAAUGACAUGGACAUAUCUAGGUUGGGGGUUAUAUGCAAUAAGUAGAGAAUGAUGAAAAAAUAGGUAGAGGUAGAUGAGAUACAUAGUAAAAUAACUAAACAUGCAUAUCAGGAUAUAAGUCAAUAACAUAGUAGGAAAGUGGGCAAACAUUGGUUCAAGAAGAAAUCCUAGGGUAGUUCUCAUCCCUCAGCUAGUGCUCUAGUUCCCAAACUUAUGAGUGAUUAGUAAUUUUAGUCUAGCAAUGGACCUAGGGUGUAAGGUGCCCAAUCUCAGGCCAGUGUAGCUCAGUCGUCACUACCUUACCCUCCUUGUUGUACUUGUAGAAAACUUCACCGUGGUUCUUGUUGUAUGGGAAGGAAUUUGUACUUUGAUUAUGGCCAGCCAAGUCAUAUGCAGUUGGACUACCCUGCAGCUUGGGGUGCAUUUAGGGCUAAAAAAGUCUUGGCUACUACUUCUUCGGGUCAUGCUACAAAGGGUGCUACUUCAGGGAUGGGAAAUAGUCAUAACUAUCUAUAUACACUGUUUACUCAUCAGGAUUCUGAGGUAUCUCCAUAUGUUGUCAUGGCUAUGUUACAUCUUUUCUCCCAUGAUGUUUAUGUAUUGCUUAAUCCUGGUUCCACCCUAUCCUAUGUGACUCCAUAUGUGGAUAUACACUUUGUUUUGGUCCCAAAAGUAUGUCUGGCCCUUUUUUUAGUCUCUACCCCAGUGGGUAAGUCCAUUAUUUCUAGGAGAGUCUAUUGGGGUUAUGUUGUAUCUAUUAUUCAUCGAUAUACUGCGGUAGAUCUGGUAGAGCUUGAUAUAGUGGAUUUUGAUAUGAUCUUGGGGAUAGAUUGGCUCCACUCAUGGUAUCUUACCUUGGACUAUAAAACUAGAAAGGUCAUUUUUUAUUUUUCUAAUGAACCAAUGAUAGAAUGGGAAGGGAUUUCACUAGAUCCGAAGGGGAAAUUCAUUUCUUAUCUUAGAGUUCAAAAGUUGAUAUCAAAAGAGUUUGUAUCAUAUGGUCUGAGUCAAGGAUUCUAACUCUGAAAGCCCCUCCUUGUAAUCUAUUCCUGUGGUUAAUGAGUUUCCUAAAGUCUUUCUCGAUGAAAUUCCUAAAAUUCCUCAUAAUAGGGAGAUAGACUUUGGGAUUGACCUUUUUCUGGAUACAUAUCCCAUAUCCAUUCUAUCAUAUAGAAAGGCUUCUUUAGAGCUGAAAAAUUUAAAGGAAUAGUUAAAAUACCUCCUUGAUAAGGGUUUUAUCUGUCCUAAUGUUUCUCCUUGAGGUGCUCCUGUGUUUUUUGUGCAAAAAAAAGGGUACCUUCGUAUGUGCAUAGACUACCGCCAACUAAAUAAAGUCAUCGUGAAAAAUAAGUACUUCUAGAAUUGAUGAUCUCUUUGACUAGCUUAAAGAAGCUAAAUAUUUCUCUAAAAUAGAUCUUCGUUCGGGUUACCAUCAGUUAAAGAUUAGGAAAGGUGAUAUUCUCAAGACUAUCUUUCAGACCCAUAUGGCCAUUAUGAAUUCUUGGUUUUGUCAUUUGGAUUGACUAAUGCUCCUGCUGCUUUCAUGGACCUUAUGAAUAGGAUGUUUAGAAAGUUUCUAGAUUUGUUCUACAUAGUCCUUAUCGAUAAUAUUUUGGUGUACUCCAAAAGUAAGAAAAUCAUGUCAAUCACCUCUGAAUUGUACAAUAGACCCUUAAGGAUCAAGAGUUGCAUGCAAAAUUUUCUAAGCAUGAGUUCCAGUUGAGUGUUGUGACUUUCCUUGGAAAUGUUGUUUCUACUGAGGGGGUUAAAGUAGUUUCCCAAAAGAUUGAGGCGGUAAAGAAAUGUCCUAGACCCAUGACUCCAACCAAUAUUAGGAGCUUCUUGGGUUUGGUAGGCUAGUAUAGAAGAUUUAUGGAAAGUUUUUCGUCUAUAGAUAUUCCACUUACAAGAUUGAUUCAGAAGAAGGUAAAGUUUCUAUGGUCUGACUCUUAUGAGAAAGGUUUUAUAAGAUUAAAGGAUCGCUUGACUACUGCCCCUUUCUUGACACUUCCCGAAGGUACUCAGCUGUUUAUUGUGCAUUGUGAUGCAUCUUGAGUAGGACAUUGUUGUGUACUGAUGCAACAUGAAAAGGUGUAGCUUAUGCUUCUAGGCAACUUAAGGUUCACAAUAGAAAUUACCCGACUUAUGAUCUUGAGUUAGCGGCAGUGGUAUUUGUAUUGAAAAUUUAGCAUCACUAUUUGUACGGAGUGCGUGUAGAAAUCUACUUGGAUCACAAUAGUCAGCAAUAUAUAUUCACUCAAAAAGAAUUGAACCUCCAGAAGAGGAGGUGACUUGAAUUUCUAAAAUAUUACAACAUGAGUUUGCACUACCACCCAAGUAAAGUUAACCUCGCUGCUGAUUCUCUUAGCAGGUUGUCCAUGGGGAGUCAAUCUCAUGUUGAGGAAAAAAAGAGAGGCUUUGUGAAGGACAUUCACCAAUUGGAUAAUUUGGGAGUCCGACUUUUGGACUCCAAGGAUAAGAGAAGUGAUUUUCCAUGGAGUGGAUAAGUCAUCCCUUGGGGCCGAAUUUAAGAAGAAAUAGGUUCAUAAUCCCAUACUUAUACAAAUCAAGAUAGACAUGGGCCAGCAAAAGUUUAUGGCUUUCAAAAUUGGGGGAUAUGGUGUUCUAAGGUAUCAAGGGAGAUUUUGUGUUCAUGAUAUAGACGAGCUGCGAGAGAGGAUUUUGACCAAAGCUCAUGUGUCCAAAUAUACAAUUCAUCCCGAUUCAACAAAAAUGCAUCAGAAUUUGAAGGAGAUGUAUUAGUAGAAUAACAUAAAGAGAGAUGUUGCUAAUUUUGUUGCCAAGUGUUUGAAAUGUCAGCAAGUUAAGGUUGAACGCUUGAGAUUGGGUGGAACCUCCCAAGAGGUAUUCUUAUCCAUGUGGAAGUGGGAAAUAAUGAACAUGGAUUUUGUCACCAGUCUUUCAAUGUCCCAAAACCAAUAUGAUUCCAUUUGGGUCAUUCUUGGUAGAAUGACCAAUUUCAUCCAUUUUUUGCUUGUGAGAACUAAUUACUCAAGAGAGGAUUAUGUAUAUUUAGGAGUUAGUUCGGUUGCAUGGGACCUCAGUGUCUAUCAUAUCCUAUUGAGGUACGUAAUUUUCUUCUUUGUUUUGGCAGUCUUUUUAGAAAGGGUUGGGGACUCAGGUGAACCUUAGCGCUGCUUUCCACCCUCAAAGUAAUAGGAAAGCGAAGCGUACUAUUUUAAAUUUAGAAGAUAUGCUAAGAGCCUAUGUGAUUGACUUUAAAGGUAGUUGGGUGGAUCACUUGCCACUUAUUGAGUUUAUCUAUAAUAAUAUUUAUCACUCCAGCAUACAAAUAGCUCCUUGUUAGGCCCUUUAUAGUAGAAGGUGUAGGUCUCUUAUUGGAUAGUAUGAGGUGGGUGAGACUAGAGUUCGGGCCUAAUCUUGUGCAUCAAGCGAUGGAGAAAGUCAUGAUUAUACAAGAGAGACUUAAGACCGCUAAAAUCCGCCAAAAGUCUUAUGCGAAUAUGAGACGAAAAGAGUAAGAAUUCGAGGUUGGCGAUUGGAUGUUCCUAAAAAUCUCUCCUAUGAAGGGAGUUAUGAGGUUUGGGAAAAGGGGGAAGCUCAGUACUUACUAUAUUGGUCCAUAUCAGAUUUUAAAAAGAGUUUGAAAUAUUGCUUAUGGAUUGGAGAAAUAUUGCUUAUGGAUUGGACUUACAGGUGAGCUUGGCAUCGAGUCAUCCUAGGUUUCAUGUGCCCAUGCUCAAGAAAUGUGUAGGUGAUCCUUCCUUGGUAGUGCCCGUAAAGAAUAUUGGUGUGAAGUACUCCCUAUCUUUUGAAUAAGUUCCUACGAAAUCCUGGAUAGACAAGUUUGAAAGUUGUGUACCGAGAAGAUAGUUUCAGUAAAGGUGUUGUGGAGAAAUCAAAGAGCGAAGAAAGCUACUUAGGAGUCAGGGGAUGACAUGAAAGCUAGAUAUCCCUUCUUAUUUCCAUCUUCAGACAAGGUUUCUUGAGGUACGAAUCCUACGCUUAUCCUCAAUCUAUUUGAUUUCAUGUUUUCAGUCCUUUUAUGUUCUUCAUUGCAUCGUAUAAAGUCCUCAUUCAGGGACGAAUGAUCCCAAGGGGGAUAAUGUAAGACCCAAAAAUAAUUUAGAACCUCCAUGCAUCCAAUGUGGUAUAAAUUACAAGUACAUGUAAAAAAAAUCAAACUUUAUAUUUUUGUAGUAUUAAAAGUGAUUUAUAUCUAUUAAGGCCUCAAGCAACUCCAUACUCAUAGACAAGUCAAAACCUCCCUUACCAAUUGAUUUCACGUGAAGUAUCUAGCUGUAGUCAACUUCAAACGACCAUAACUCCUAAAUUAUGAUGUAUUUUUUAGAUCAAGACCCACCAAAUUAUGGAUAUUUGAGCUCGCUUCAACACAUCUAGUUUCUCCUUAAUCCGAUGUUAAAGUAAAAAAGUUAUUUCCAUUUUACUUAAGCCCUGUCAAAGUUGUCAGUGACCCACAACUCAUGGAUUCAACUCAUGAUCCGUGAGUUCAAGUCAUGAGUCGGUCCUAAAAUAUGAAAAAUUGGUCUGAUUUUCAUGCCUUUGAACCACGACCCAUAAGUCUAACCUAUGUCUUGUGAGUUCAAUCCGUGAGUUGUGUCAAUCCAUGAGUUGUAUUCUAAGGGCCAUAAAACUUAUCUGAUUUCCACGGGUUGGAUCCAUGAGUCAUGGACCUAACUCACGGCCCAUGGACCAAGCCAUGGGAACCGUUUCUAAAAAAAAAAAAAUUGAUAAUCUUAGAGGCAUUUUGUUCAUUUUUCUUAUGAGGUCCGACCCUUAUAUGCUUAAAACCUCUUUUGAACAAUUAGUUAUGAUCUUUUCAAAAACAAUAUAAAUAGAAACUCUUCCUCCUCCCCUAAAACAUUCUAAUUAGCAAGAACGCCUAAGGUUCAAGAUUCAGAUUCAAGCUUUGCUUAUCUAAAAGGCAUGUUGAACACUCUCUACUUAUAUUAUUAUCAGAAAGUAUGGAUUUCAACUAUUUUUGUGUAUGUUUUAAUUGGUAAUUUGAAACUAGGGUUGAGAAGAUUGUUGUGAAAAGCCUUAUAUUGAUUUCUUUUCUUAUUUUAUGGGUUUUUCUAGGCAUUAUUAAUGGAUUUUAAGCUGUAAAUAUAUUAUAUAAAAAUGGUGAAAUUUUUAACAUGGAGUCACAACUUUUAAGAUUAUAUGCAUCCAAUUUGCUAAAAAAGAAAAAAAAAACCCUGAACCCCAAACCCCCUCUCUUCUCUGGCGAUUUUUUCUUCUCCCUGCGCUUCUCCUUGGCAGCCCUUUCAUGGCGGCUCAGGCCACUGGGCAGCCUCCUUCUAAGGAUGUCCAGCCCACCCCCGCCCUAAAUUACUCACAUAUUCUACAACCCACCAUACAAAAUCUACCAAAACAAUCCAUUCCCGCAAUCCCUAUAAAACCUAUUAUUUUCCAUCAUGGAGAACCCACAGUGCAGUGGAGUUUGGAUGAACUGCAGCACAUGAUAAUUCAUGAAAAUCUCCAAUAUGCAAUUGUUGGAAAAAAAAUUUAUAGCUGGCCAGAUAUUCAUGAUUUACGGAAGUUGAUUCCAAGCCAAUGUGAAAUAAAAGGAGACUGCAGUAUUGGUUUUCUUUGCAAUCAUCAUGUGCUAAUCAGAUGUACGCAACUUGAAGAUUAUAUUCAACUGCUAUCUAAACCAGCAUACUACAUCAAGGAUAAGCAUAUGUAUCAUCAGAUGAAGCCGCUAAAGUGGGACCCUUGGUUUAACCCGGUGGAAGAGAUGUCAAUUGCGAUGGCAUGGAUUUCUCUUCCUACUUUACCACCUCAUUAUUUUGUGAAGGAGGCACUUUUUUCUUUAUCUUCUACUGUAGUUAAGCCACUCCAAGUUGAUUUAGCUACAAAAAAUAAAAUGCGGCAAAGUUGUGCACGUGUAAAGGUGGAAGUUGAUUUGCUGGCAUAUUACCCAAAGAGAGUCCAAAUCUAAUGUGUUAAUCCUUCUACUGGAGAAAUAAGGUCCAAGUGGAUAAAAAUUAAAUAUGAUUUUAUGCCAAAGUAUUGCAAACAUUGUUGUUUGCAGGGACAUGACGAAGAGGGGGGUGUAGAGUUCUUCACCCUGGACAUAUUUCGAUUGAGAAGGAACAAGAAGAUGGUGAUAGUGUCAAGCAAACUGAUCAACAUGCUGCUGCUGGACACAUUGAUCAGGUGACAGAAAAAAAUCAAGCAAUUACUGGUGCAAAUCCAAAUCGAGGUUAAGGAUAACCUGUUAUGAACGGGAAAAAUUCUAAUGCUCCAAUUAGAAUUUUAUCGAGCGACAAGGUUGUUGGGAAUAUUCAAAAGACCUGGCAAUGGAGUAAAGGCCAAACUCAACCCACUUUGGUUGAUAAUAGCAUAAAUCAAAAUUUAAAAAGUGGAAAUAGUGUAGUUACAAGAAAGGAACUGGAAGUUGGUAAGGGACCAGGUGCGCCCCUUCAAACUUUAAACAAAUAUGCUGCUUUGGGGAAUGGCAAUGGAGAGAAUAAUCAACUAGAUGAGGUGCCACACAAAAUUGUUACAGCUGAAGCAGUUCAUACUACUAACGCAAGUAAUGUGGAUAAGAAUUUAAAUGCAAAUGCCUCUGUGCUUAAGCCAAGAAAUACAACUGGUUCUCCUUCUAAGGAGAAGAGCACUAAAGAGUGGCUAACUUCUACCUUUGCCAAAGAAAAUGGGGGUCAAUUGGUUACUACUAACCAGUCUUGCCAAGAAAUCCCGUCUCAAACAUAUGAGACGACCACAAAGGAAGGAGACAAGGAAAUAGAAGAAGGUGAAGUACAUGAUCGUAAUGUUGAUGAACAUGGCGAUGAUCAGAAUCAAAUAAAUAGUCAGGUUAAAGGUGUUGAUACCAGCCACAAAAUGCUAUAAGCAGCAGCGUUAGUUUCAGGGGCGACAGUGAAAGAACCUGAAAUAAUUUCCAAGGAAGAUGCAGGUGCGAAUCCGAUAGUGCAGCAAGAUGAUAUAAUUGUUACUACGAAUGCAGCUGGUCAUGAGAAUGAGAAGGAAGCAAAGACGACUGAUUUUAAUAAUGUUGUUGAAGUGCUACCAGAUGCUCCAGAUUGUGAGGACCCUCGGUUUGUGAAGCGUGAUGCUAAAAAUUCAAAUAAGAAGGGGAAGGGGAAAAAUAGCAGUAACAAUAACCAGGAAAAGUCGGGCAAAACAGAAUUGACAAAGCAAUUCCAAGAAAUCUCAGGGAUAGCUUGUUUCACCUAACGUUACUCUUCCAGUUAUUUCAGAGUGCUAGGCCAGGGAAUGAAGAUAACGAAUUUACAGGCAUUGAUUGAGAUGAGGAAUCCACCGCUCAAAAUUUCCAAAAUAUUGCUAGGGAAGGGGAUUUAUCUCCGAGGCAAAUAGAGAAAGGAAAAUCUGGUGGUAAACAAAGGAAAAAGCAAAGAGACAGCAACGUACCAACUUCAGGUAUGCAAACGAGGAGAAGUACAUCUAAAUCCAAUAUGUAGCUAUGAAUAACGCUCUUAUUUGGAAUAUUAGAUCAGUACACACUAAUAAAGCUUUUAAAAGGCAUAAAAAGUACCAGUUUUAUCUCAUUGGUUUGUUAGAACCCUUUCAACAUGCCCAUAAAAUUGAGAAGUACAGGAGGAGGUUGGGGAUACCUACUGCUUUGUCAAAUAUUAAUGGGAAAAUAUGGACUUUUGUGGAUGAGAAUUGCAAGGUGACAGUGCUCAUGGAUAUGGAGUAGCAACUUUCAUUGAAGUUAUUCAAUAAUGAACUCGGCAAGCAGAUAAUAAUUACACUUAUUUACGCAAAGUGUGAUUCGGUGGAGCGGUUGCUUUGUGGGAUUCACUGCAUUUGUUGGGAUCUGGUAUGAGUGAUCCUUGGCUAGUCGCAGGUGAUUUUAAUGUCAUUGUUGAUGAGGAGGAAAAAUAUGGAGGGCUCCCAGUAUCCAUCGGUGAAGUAGAAGAUUUUAGGUACUGCAUUCAAAUAUGUAAUUUAUCUAAUUUGGGCUUCAAGGGAAACAUUUUUUACAUGGUGGAAUGGUCGGACAAACGAAGCUUGUAUUUUUAAGAGAUUGGAUAGGUGCUUGGGUAAUUUUGAAUUCCAACAGAUAUUUUCGGGAUGUGAUGUGACUCACCUGAUUAGAUUUGGCUCGGAUCACUCUCCGUUAUUGCUUGAGUGCAAGGUUAACAGUCCACAAAUUAAUAAAUCAUUCAAAUUUCUAAAUUUUUGGACAACUCACGGGAGCUUUCUGGAUGUGGUGCGUCAAAACUGGAAUUCUGAAUUUGUGGGUAAUCCUUUUGUUCAGUUUAAUCUGAAGUUGAAGAAUAUGAAGAAAAUUCUAUCAAGUUGGAGCAAAGCAACCUACGGAGACAUCUUUCAGAAAAUUGCUAAUAUGGAGGAUGUGAUCAAGGUUCUGGAAGUUCAAUUCGAACUCGAUCCUUCACAGCAGAAUAGACAGAGUUUGUUAAAGGCCCAAGUAGAAUUGACUAGAGUGAUGCAUAUUGAAGAUGAAUUUUGGAAGCAAAAAUAAAAUAUGAGUUGGUUUCAAGAGGGCGACAGGAAUUCUAGAUUCUUUCAUGCACAAGUGAAUGGCAGAAGAAGAAGGAUGCAGAUAAAGAGAAUCCAACAAGAUGGUCAGUGGCUAGAAUCAACUGAGGAAGUAGCCGCUGCUGCUGUGAUUUUUUUCCAAAAAAAAUUCAUAGAAGAAAGCGUUCCAUCAGACUUUGAUAUUCUAAAACAUGUCCCUGGCAUGAUCAACAUAGAGCAAAAUGAAGAUCUGGUUGCCUGGCCAACGAAUAAAGAAGUCAAGAAUGUAGUUUUUGGCUUGAAUGGUGAUAGCGCUGGAGGUCCUGAUGGUUAUACUGGAAAAUUCUUCCAAUGUUUCUGGGAAAUAGUAAGAGACGAUGUGUGCGCAAUAGUUGCGGAAUUUUUUGGAGGUCGGCAGCUGCCUAGAUUUAUUACUCACACGAAUCUUGCAUUGCUACCAAAGAAGAAGGAGGUGAUCACAUUCUCUGACAUGAGGCCAAUAAGCCUAAGCAACUUCAUCAACAAAAUCUUUUCAAGAGUAAUUCAUGAUAAAUUAGUUGGCGUUUUACCCAAGUUGAUAUCUUCCAAUCAUGCCGUCUUUGUGAAGGGCAGAAGCAUUGUAGAGAACAUCUUACUUGCCCAAGAGAUAGUCACCAACAUCAAAUUGAGGACAAAGGCAGGGCCUAAUGUAGUCAUAAAGCUUGAUAUGCAGAAAGCCUAUGACAGAUUAUCGUGGUUUUUCUUAACGAAAGCUCUAAGGAAGAUGGGGUUCAGCGAGAGGUUUAUCGGCAUGAUUUGUGAUAUAGUGAGUAACAAUUGGUACUCUAUUUUGGUAAAUAGGCAUCCGUAUGGUUUCUUUAAAUCUUUCAGGGGAGGGGAGUAAUAUAGGGGGAUCCGCUGUCUCCCACAUUAUUUAUUUAGCUGCGGAGGUAAUGUCUAGGGGUCUGAAUUCUCCGCAUAGUGAUUUGUAUUUUUGCGGCUUUUGUCUUCCUAAAUGGAGUCCAAAAAUUAAUCACCUAGCUUAUGCAGACGACACCAUCAUUUUGUCUUCUUCCUGCCCUAUUUCCUUACAGUUGAUUAUAGAGGUGCUCACAGAGUAUGAGAAGGCCUUUGGGCAGAAAGUCAACAAGGAGAAAAGUCUAGUAUAUAUGCAUCACUUGGCGGAUCCUGUAGUGAUGGAAAGGGUGCAGCUUGUUACCGGGAUUAGUAGAUAGGAAUUUCCUUUGACAUACUUAGGAUGUCCAAUUUUUUAUAGCAAGCAAAACAUAUCAUUUUACUCGGUCCUUAUUCAAAAAGUGCUGGGUAGAUUGCUAUUCUCGAAAGGGAAAUUACUUUCUCACGGGAGAAGAGCAGUUCUUAUUUCUCAUGUGUGACAAAGCAUGCUGAUUCAUUUGUUAUCGGUCGUCGACCCUCCUGAUUAUGUAAUUGAAAAAUUACAUAAGAUUUUUGCUCAAUUCUUUUGGAGCAACUCGGUGGGCGAUAGAAGCAGUCAUUGGGCAAAAUGGUUGGAGCUGUGUUGGCCACAGAAUAAAGGCGGCUUGGGGUUCAGGUCCAUGUUCGAUGUGUCAAAGGCUUUAUUUGCCAAAUUGUGGUGUAAAUUUAGGAUGAAACCAUCCUUGUGGAGCGCUUUCAUGAGUAACAAAUAUUCUAAGAAGAUUAAUCCGGUAAUUGUAUUAUGGAAGGAAGGGUCACACGUUUGGAGGAAAAUGUUGGAAGCUAGGGAUUUGAUUGAGCAUCAGAUUUAUUGGAAGCCUAGGAUGGGAUCUUCUCAAUUUUGGUUUGAUAAUUGGAUGGGGCUUGGAGCAUUAUAUCACGUCACUUCAUCUGAUUUUUAUUAUGAUGAGUCGAUUCUUAAUGUGGCUAUUGUCGUUAGUGAUAACAGGUGGAACGAACAAUUGUUGAGGAAUAUUUUGCCUGCUGAUUUAGCUGAAUACAUAAUAGAAAAUAUCCAAGUUCCAUCAUAGUUGCAGGAACUGGAUACACCAUACUGGAUGCUCGAGACUAUCGGAGAAUUCUCUGUAAAAUCUGCUUGGGAUUAUAUUAGAUUGAGGGGUGUAAAAUCUAAUAUAUACAAGUACAUGUGGAUAAAGGAGAUGCCUUAUAAAAUCGCAUUCAUGAUGUGGAGAUCGUGGAAGUUUAAAAUUCCAUUGGACGAUGGCGUGAAGAAUAUUGGAUUUAGCUUGGCGUCAAGGUAUAGUUGCGGCACCAGGCCGCAAGAGGAGACAUUUGGCCAUGUGUUCCUGAAAGAACCUAUCGCUAAAAUAACCUGGGAAUAUUUUAAUUUAUAUGCAGGUAUUUCCAUUGGAGGACUACAACUUCAACAGGUUAUUCUUAAAUGGUGAGAUGCUCCUGUUCUUCCAAGACUCCAACCAAUCUUUUGCGCAGUUUCGACCAUAAUCAUUUGGGAGCUGUGGAAGAAAAGAAAUAGCAACAAGCACGGAGAGAAGGUGACUGUCAAUAGAAUUAUCUACCAGGUUUAUCACACCCUUCAGAUGCUUGUCAAGGUAGAAAACCAUCAAUCAAGCAGGUUCCACAUAGAUGGCCAGACAUAAUCCGAGUCUUGGAAAAAUUUAUGCCAGCGUUGAAGGUUACUCAGGUGCGUUGGAAUCUACCUCCGAAUAAUUGGUUAAAAUACAAUAUGGAUGGCGUCUCCAGAGGUAAUCCAGGUAGAAUUUCCUAUGCAUUUUGUAUUAGAGAUCCUCUUGGUGAUUUGAUAUAUGCAGAAGCUAAGGAAAUUGCGGAAGGCACAAACACAUUUUAGAGAUUAUUGCAAUUUUGGAGGCCGCUCGAUAUUGCGUAGCUCAUAAUGUGUUCAAUUUGAUAUUAGAAACUGAUUCUCUGUUCCUAAAAAACAUAAUUACGGGUACCUGGAAGCCGCCAUGGAGUGUAACUGCGGAACUAGAAGAAAUAGGUGAGCUACUGGAGAAUCUAAACAUCCAAGUAACUCAUAUUAUGAGGGAAGACAACCAGCUUGUGGACUACUUGGUAAAUAGUGCACUAGAACGUGGCGACAUUAUAGUGCACUUAUUCAACGAGCUGGACUCGCAAGGAAGGAAGAUAAUUAAUAGCGACAAGUUUCAAUGUCCAUAUUUAUGAGUACGCGCUGCAAGAAAAGGAUGAUGGAGUGGAGAUACUAUUUUAUGGGGUUGUGCUACUGUUUUAACCCCAUAAUGAUGUUCGCGAGAUAGAAAUCAGUUGUACAUCGUGUUAAUAUCUAGACGAGGAAAAUUGAUAACUCGGUGGUUGAUUUAUACUCGUUUAGCUCAAGUUAACAAGCUGCAAGCGGAAUAGACAUUUCUACCAGGGUUUUAGUUACCGAGAUAGUGCGUAGAAGUUUGGAGUGUGGCUCGAUAUGCCUUGCAGAGAAAUGGUGUGGUAAGAGGAGAAGGAUGGAGAAAGUAAUGUAUCGACAUGUUAAGGAGGAGAGCAUGGAGAUGAACUUUAUUUCUAACAUCAUUUUCUUCCUUGCAGGUUACAAUAUGCUACGCAAAUUUUAUUUUUUAAUUAUUUCUUAAUGUGUGGUAUUAGCAUUUGCUGUUCAUUCCAUUGAGAAAAUAUUAAUAAAUGGAAUUAGCAUAGCUUGGAAAUGCAAAUUCAUCCUUUUUCUGGUGAUCUUACUCUUCUGGGAAGUGGUGACUGUUUUAUGGGGUUGUUUCACUGUUAUAACCCAAAAAUGGAGCUCAAGAUUGAUGGAAAUCAUUUUUGCAUCAUAACGAGAAAAUUGAUAACUUGUUGCUCAAUUAAUACUCGCUUAGCUCAAUUAAACAUGUUGCCAGGUUGCGGAAUUGAGGCUUCUGCCAGUGGAUUUUGCAUUAUGCUAAUAUGUAGAUGAGGACAAUUGAUAACGUGUUGUUUGAUUUGUACUUGUUUAUGCGGAAUGGAGGCUGCUGCCAGGGGUCUAUUUACCAAGAUAGUACGUACAAUUUUGGGGCGUGUCUUGAUAUGCCUUGCUGGAAAAUGUUGUUGCAAGAAGAGGAUGAGGGAUAAAAUAAUAUAUCACCAUGUUCAAGUCCUUUGAGAGGAGAGCAUGGAGAUAAUUUUUAUUUCUAACAUUGUUUUCUUUUUGGCAGGUUACAAUAUUUUGUGCCAUUCUAUUUGUUAAUUUUUUCUCAAUGUGUGGUAUUAGCACUUGUUGCUCAUUCUGUUGAGAAAAUAUUAAAAAAUGAAAGUAGCAUAACAUGGAAAUGGAAAUGCAUUUUCCUUUCCAGUGAUCGUACUCUUAGGUUGGACAAACUUUUGUCCAAUGUUUGUUACUACUCCAUUGAUCCUACAUUUGAAGGAAAUGAUAUGGCCUGCUCGUGUUCCAAUUUCGAUAAAGUUUAUUGUUCCAUUGAAUCUAUUUCAAAAGGUGAUGAUUUGAUGCAAACUAGAUCGAUAAAUUGGUACAUGAGAAUUUUUAUCUUGCAAGUGGAGAUGCUCAAAACUUAUUCAAAUUACAUAAGAGAAGAUACGUCAACACAUUUGCACACCAAGAGUUCCAUAAUUAGGAUAUAUUUUUGUCGACUAAAUUGGUCUUUACUUGGUUCAUAUUUCAGCAAAUAUACUUGUCACUGCCCAGGUGGUUUUGCUAGCAUUUUGAACUGCGUUGAAGAUCAAAAUAUGAUGACAAAAGAUGUGAUUCUAACAUAGGAGAAUAUGAUGACAAAAGAUGUGAUUCUAACAUAGGAGAUGCAGCAGCGACUGAAGAAACCAACAAACGUCAAUGUCGUGAGGCUUCAAAACAACGCUGCCAAGGAGCUUACAACAAGAAUCGAUGCCGUGAGUCUUCAAAACAACACUACCAAGGAACAUCAAAGUUAGCUAAGGCAAGAUGGAAAUUCAGUUCAUGGACAAUACAUCACUCAAAUAUUAGUUUUGCAAAUUUAGCCUCUUUUAUUCACUCAUAUUGUAACACCAGAUUAAGGCAUUCUGUAAGUCUUAUUUUGGUCAUUAGCUUAGUUUUUGACUUCAGUUUAAAGCUUUCGCUACAUUUGUAAUAAUUUUUUAUUUGAAAAAUUUUAUAAAAAGAACCUAGGCACCUUGCCUAGAGGAAUUUGUUAAAAAAAAAAAAAGAUUAUACAUCAUGAAAAUAUGGCCCUCAACACAUUUC